UGGGGAAUAUUGCACAAUGGGGGAAACCCUGAUGCAGCGACGCCGCGUGAACGAAGAAGGUAUUCGUAUCGUAAAGUUCUGUCCUAUGGGAAGAUAAUGACAGUACCAUAGAAGAAAGCUCCGGCUAAAUACGUGCCAGCAGCCGCGGUAAUACGUAUGGAGCGAGCGUUGUCCGGAAUUAUUGGGCGUAAAGGGUACGCAGGCGGUUUAAUAAGUCGAAUGUUAAAGAUCGGGGCUCAACCCCGCAAAGCAUUGGAAACUGAUAAACUUGGGUAGUAGAGAGGAAAGUGGAAUUCCUAGUGUAGUGGUGAAAUACGUAGAUAUUAGGAGAAAUACCAGUAGCGAAGGCGACUUUCUGGACACAAACUGACGCUGAGGUACGAAAGCGUGGGGAGCAAACAGG
This 403-nucleotide ribosomal RNA is filed under the name bacterium. RNAcentral describes it as "partial 16S ribosomal RNA". It matches the Rfam family "Bacterial small subunit ribosomal RNA", at positions 355 to 776 of the family's 1533-position model. The record is from RNAcentral.